RNA transcript from Daucus carota subsp. sativus, 6107 nucleotides. RefSeq lists it as uncharacterized. The record is from RefSeq and is a predicted model, not a curated record. Lineage: Eukaryota; Viridiplantae; Streptophyta; Magnoliopsida; Apiales; Apiaceae. The transcript is spliced from 6 exons.
UAGAGAAUCAUCCCUACGUAACGCAGACUCUGCCUCUAGGGAUAUCCUAACGAAGCGAAGGAACUCAACUGGUAUGAGCGACCUGGAGCUUACUGAAGUCGGCAUACAGAAUUUUGCUCUUUCAGGUUAGUUAUUUAAUCAGUUAUAUGAUGUGUAUUUGCUGCCAUGGUAUAGGUCAGUUGCAAGUUGUUAAUUAUUUCACCAGUUUUAUGCUUCAAUCUUAAAGUGGUAGUUGUAGAUUUGUAUAUAUUUUGGAAUAGUGUAUUCUGCUUUGCAGGUACAUAAUUCUCACUUGAUUUAGUAAGUGAAAAAUCUUAUUCUGCUGAGAUGAUAUGAAUAUAACUAUACGGAUGUGGUUUCCCUCGAGUAAUGUACACCAUGGAAUGCUUGAUUUUGGUCUUCAUCUACCUUCUCUUAUAAUUUUAUGCAAACCUCAUUUAUGAUUAGCUUAUCUAGGAACCUCAGUGAAGUUAAAGUAUUAUAGCUAAAAGUGAAUUUUAAAAAUAUAUACGUUAGCAGAUGGAAGCCAGCUACCUUCAUUAAAUACUACUGUUGUGUGUACCUUUUGGCUGCACUUUACACUAAAAAGAGUACGAUUGUGAUAAGUACAUGCUAUUUGAGUAAUUGAUGCGCACUUUUCGACAUAAUGUAGUGUUGCUUCAUUGUUGUCGAUGUUUCCGUUAUGUAAUGUGUGUAACAAAAACUUAGAAUACUAUAGUUACCAAAGUCAAUGGAUAAUGUCCUGUAUUUUCUGUUGCAGUCUGUGGCUAAGCUACUGUCACUCUAUUUAUUUUUUAUAAUCAAAUUUGAAAUCAUACUAUAUAUAAUCAUGUCCUCAUGUUUUAUGUACAAAGAUAACAUAAUUUAUUUAUAUAUACCAUUCAGAGAAUAUGAGAUUAACAAAAUGAGACUCUGUAAAUACAUUUCCUCAAUAGCUAUGUGUAAUGGCUAUAAUUGCAAAGGAACAGAUGUAUGAUUCUGUAGAGUCUCAUAUUAGUGGUUGUCAUUUGCAUUUCUUCAACCGAGCACCUAUAAAUAUAAUAACCCAUCAAUAGUAUAUGCACCUCAAAUUGAGCUCCACUAAGAUGGGAAGCCAGUAGUUCUGUCAAGUCCAUUUGAUAAGAUAAAUUAUCCAUUAAGCAGUGCAAGGUUUAGGUCAUUAAUCUUAAUAAAGCUAAUAAAUAGACUAAGGAAUGAAUUUCGAGUCCAUCAUCCGUUUUAUCUAUAAUUUUAUAAGAAGGCUAUAAGGCAGGUACCUUUGUAUCUUGGAGCCAGCUGUUAGAUUAAGGCACCAAGGUUAAAAAAUCAGAUUGAUUUAGGUAGACAUUUAUAGUUUUAUGAAGUUGCUUAUGUUUUUUAAUUUUAUAUAUAAUAACAUCCCUAUAUGUAUCCUGGGAAAAAACUGCCAAGGUGUGCAGUAGUACAUGAAGUACAUCUGCCAAGGUGUGCAGUAGUAUAUGAAGUACAUCAAAUCCCAAGAUUCACAUUCAGUGUAUUAGAGUUCACUAGACUGUCUGUAUUCAUCUUAUUGAGAGUUCUAUCGUGUAAAAUUUAGCAAGAUUAGAUUAUUAUGCUCUUUUAAAAAAAUUCUAUUGCAUUUUGGCAUUUAAAGGAUCAUAGUCAGAAAUCCAUAAAAUGAAUUAAAAGAUGCUGUACCUUUUGGUUAAUAUUUGGUUUAAGUUUAAGACAUUUUGAUACACAAAAACAUGUUUCCAUUGACUAAUAAUAAUAAUGCAUGAUGCACCUCUCUACAACUCUUUGUCCUUUGUUGCUUAUAAAUAUUCAGCAUUUAUGAUCACUUAUGUGCAAGUAUUUGGAGUCCAUCUUUACAUACCCAGUUUGGAAGAUAAAUAAGUAUAUAACAGGGUUCAAGUACUCUGUUAGUGGCCUUCUCAAGACUUCAGGAUUUACAUUAAUAGAGCUAAUAACUAAUCUAACAUGUAACGGUUCAAAUAUUAUAUGUCAAUCAUAUAAGCUUUCUACUAGAAGGGCAGUACAGGGAAGUUUUGAAGCUAUCAGUAUCUUUAAAAUGUGUACAGAAUAACACAUGGCAAAACAUAGGAAAGGGGAAGAUCGACAUUACAAGAUGAUGCAUAAUAGUGGAUUUUAGUUCCUGUAGCCCGAGCGCAGAUAGUACAAAACAGUAUGGUUAAGUGUCUAAUUAACCCAUAUAAGUUGAAAACCUUAUUCCACUAUAGUUAUGCCGUUUCUGUAUAUUUUUGGUAUAAGUUUUUGAGAGUUUGAAACUAUGUGGCAAUGCAGCGUGCUACCAAUAGUAUAUCAGGUUCAUUUACAAAUAGCAUUUGUCUAAUUAACCCAUAUAAGUUGAAAACCUUAUUCCACUAUAGGUAUGUUGCUUCUGUAAAUUUUUGGUAUAAAUUUUUGAUAGUUGGGAACUAUGUGGCAGUGCAGCGUGCUUCCAAUAGUAUGUCAGGUUCAUUUAAUAAUAGCAUGUGUAAUCAGAUGGUAUAAGCAGAAAUAAUUGCUUCUGUCACAAUUCCAGGAAAGAACAUUCAUGAUAUAUGAUUUGUGCUUCUGAAUUAUUAAUUAUGUGAUUCAGCUGCAUUUUCCUCUCUUUUUUGCUUAUUAAUAUGAAAUCUCUGUGAAUCUUAUGCAUAAUCAUCUCUGAUCUUGGUGUUUAAUAUAGAAUUGUAUUUCAUCUAUUCACAAUGUAUAGAGUAUAGACUGCAUGCUGUUAUUGUCCAGAUGACAUUCUAAUUCAUGUGGCUAGCCAUGAAUUUAUUUCCCCUCUCUAAUGUGGAUUUCUUGCAGAAAUUGAGAGGUAAACAGAUAUUUUUAAUAUUGUUUUUUUCUAAAAAUUGUGACUGCUACAAUAAAUAGCAUCCACUAUGAUUUAGACAUCAUUAAUAUUAAAAACAAAUUAAUAUCGUGUCAUUAUAUUAUUGAAGUAUAUUAAUGUCAAUAUUUUUAAAUAUAUGAUUUUAAUUUGUUUGAAAUAUAUAUUAAUAUUUAGGUUUAAUUAGUGUAUAAUGAUUUAGCCCUUCUGGGCUCAAAUCUUUUGGGUUUGUUAAACAGUACAUGUCAUUGUGUGACUACUGCUUAUCAUACAUUUGAUAUAAGUAUCUGCAAAUAGAGAACAGACUAAUGUAAGAAGUCGAUGCAGUGAUGCAACAAUGAACAAAUGACAAGCAUGCAAACGUGCACAAUUUGAUGGCUUAUCUAUUAUAUUGCGCAGACUGACUCCCACCGGCAGACUUCAUAAAGAAAAAGUUCGCAUUCAAGACCUAUUUUGACAUGCGGAUAUUCCACAAGAGAACUGCUACCUCAGAAGUUAUAGUGUCACUCAUUGCAUUAUCACACUAUGUGAAAACUAAAACUUAAAACACGCCAUUGUCAUGGUGAAUGGUAAAUAAAGGCAUGGAAAUUACUAUAAACAUUUGUCAUUGCAGAUGCUGCGGUGCUCCUUUUGGAGAGCUGCAAAUAUUGGAAAGCAUCUCAAAUCCAUCAGGUUCAAUGCAUGACGAUAAAGAAAACAAUCCAUCUGGCCAAGGCUUCCAAGAAGGAGAUGAAACAACAGAUUAUGGUUGGAAGGGUUACCUGUAAGUUGGUUCGCCAAAGUGUAGAUCUAAUAAGUACUAUUUGAAGUAUUAAUUGAAGAGCAUAUCUGGGAUUUGUUUCUGAUGCAUGGAUAAAUUAAAAAAAAAAUGCAUUCAGUGAAUGAAAAUUAUGUUUGCAUAAACUCAAGUAAAAAACAUGCAAUCUCUAAAACAAAAAUCUCAAGAUAAAAGAAGACUGGUGGAAAGCCUGAAUCUCCCUCAAAAGCAGAUCCUAACACGAAGUAUGCAGUAGAUCCUAUGAAGUCUCAAGAUGUAAGUUUUCUUCCCUCUCCCCUUAACCUGGCUCACAUACCACACUCACAGUGAUGUUUAACUAAUCCUUUUUCUAUGGUGGAUGAAUAUAAAAGGAAUUUUAAUAGUAAGUACUUUUAUUAUAUAUUUGUGUCGAGAAACUAAUGUCUAUAUAUACUAUAUACACUUGGUUAAACAAAAGUCGCAGUGUUGCAUAAUGAAUCCUAUUUUUUUAAUCAUUAAGUAUAGGAUUCAUGCGUAUCCCUCUCUUUCCAUGCUUUGAUGUGUCAGCUUUUUGACAUCAUAAAUCUUGGCAGUUACGAAAUGGUUAGAAAAUGGCUUCAAACCCUCUGUCUCUUUCAUUCAAUCAUCACACCCUCCUCUCUUUCUCUAUAAAUUCAUCUUCUAAGUCUUCUAACAUGUUAUUCACACACAGGAGUUUGUCUCGCAUAUGAUACUCACACGGUUUUACUCAAUUUUACUGCGUACACAUGGAUGGCGUUUGGAUUGAUUCUCAAAUAUAAUUACUAAAAAACAACAACGCCAGAGAGAGGGGGGAAGAGAGGGAGAGGGAGAGAAAGAGAGAGAACAAGGAGGGAGAGAGAGGGGGAGAGAGAGAGAGAGAGAGAGAGGGAGAGAGGGAGGGAGGGAGGGAUUCCGGUGGUAAUGGAAAGUCUCAUCAGCGGCAUUGCAUCAGGAGUUGGUUCAGUUAUUUCAAAAAUAUUUGGGUCUCCCCUUGAUUUCCUUUCAGAAAAUUUUGCAGAUACCCCUUACUGAUCAAACAUUUAUGCUACAAAAUAUUUGCUUCCUUCUUUAUCUAAACUAUAUUGUAUUAAUUUGUACGGACGCAAAGUUAUGUACAUCAUUGAUUGGGCGUUCUGAUGAAAAAGAUAGUUUAUGUAUCAUUUAGACGCUUUGUAAAAUUUCAUGUUCAUGGUUUGUGGUUCGGCUCAGUAUUUGCCCCCAACAUGUGAUUUCAUUUGUUAUGUCGAAAAUUUCUGCAUUUCCCAGUAAUUAAUAACUAAUUAUUAGGAAGUAAUUGAAGUAAUAAUCUUAGGAAAACUAUUGACAAGGAUUAAAGGCACUAUGCAUGUUCAACUGAAAUGGUAGCAAGAACAGCAUGUAUAUAAUCAAAUACUAUGUCUUCGCCUCGCUCUUACAGAAGAAAGAGAUAAACCAGAACAUGAAACAUAAAAGAGCUGAAUAUAGUGGACAUUGGCGCUCAUUUGUAUAAUCAGAAAACAAAUAUGAAAAUUAAAUUUGUAUUAAAGUUUUAAAAUAUGCAUGUCCUACUCAAUUAUGAUGAUAUUUUUCAGCAUAAUUUCAAUUUUUUGUGAUUUAACUUUUCUGUAAUGAUCAUAUUAAUUUCUAAUUACUCUUUAUUAUUUGGAAUAUGUUCGAUUCUCCCAUAUUACUACUCUGUGCCCCAAUUCAUUCCUUACGGUAUGUUUCUCUCUUGGUUGAACUAACAAUCAUUGUAAAAGCAAUUCAAUUCUAGAUUUUGUAUUUUCUUAUCAUUUAUGUCGAGAUUCUAGAUUUUAAUCUCUGGUUUGUCAAAAUGAUUUUACAGGUCAUGGAAUGGAUAUAAUCUCAAUUCUUGGCUUAAACAACUAAGGUAGAAAAGGAUAUGGAGGUCAAACCAACAGUUGUCGUUAGGUCUUAUACUGGAAGUAGGCAAUACUGCAUUUGAAAAGAUUGGUGUGAUGAAAGAUGCAGGUGUUAUGAUCAACUGUGGUAUGGUCAGUUUAACUAGGUUGCCUGAAGUAAUUUGUCAUGUAUGGCACUGAUUUAAUGUUUAUGUUCUUGCUUGGGCGAUAUCUGCAAAUAGUCAAGUGACAUUGUGCAUUGAAUGAUUGAAGUCCGCCUGCUAAUAAUUUUUUUAUUAGUGCAGUGUUUGAGAGAGAAGUAUGUGUACAUUAUUGGAGAAUGCAGUAUUCAUGCCAGUAAGCAGUUCACAUUUUAUCUAAUAUUUUUCAAUAUAAGGCUAAUUUGAGGAUCACAAGCUGAUUAAAUCCAGAGACCUUACUCCAUCACGAAAAGUGAGGCAAAUAACAUGGCCAGGAAUGGAAUGAACCCAGAGCACUUUAUGCAUCAGAGAUUAAAUAUGUUGUCGGGAAAAAUUCACACUCUAGCAUAUAGCAGGAUCAAGAUUAUUAAGUAUUAAUGAUGUUGAGGGAUUAAUCAAGCUAAUUACUGAGGAUGAGAGACAAAUAAGGUAUUUGACAGCAAGAGAGGAUAUUGCAUUCACAUGCCAUGCACAUAUUAACAAAGGAUGAGUCCUUGAGAUUUAAGGAUCAA